GAUGAAGAACGUAGCGAAAUGCGAUAAGUAAUGUGAAUUGCAGAAUUCAGUGAAUCAUCGAAUCUUUGAACGCACAUUGCGCCCGCCAGCACUCUGGCGGGCAUGCCUGUUCGAGCGUCAUUUCAACCAUCAAGCCCCCUGGGGCUUGUGCUGGGGCCCUGCGGCUGCCCGCAGGCCCUGAAAACCAGUGGCGGGCUCGCUAGUCACACCGAGCGCAGUAGCACAUCUCGCUCAGGGCGUGCGGCGGGCUCCUGCCGUGAAACCCCCCACUGUAACCCCAAAGGUUGACCUCGGAUCAGGUAGGAAUACCCGCUGAACUUAAGCAUAUCAAUAAGCGGAGGA
Molecule: unclassified non-coding RNA, 342 nt
Filed under: soil metagenome
Description: partial contains 5.8S ribosomal RNA, internal transcribed spacer 2, and large subunit ribosomal RNA
Rfam family: 5.8S ribosomal RNA (bases 1-120)
Source: RNAcentral